RNAcentral lists this ribosomal RNA (451 nucleotides) under uncultured bacterium. RNAcentral describes it as "bacterial SSU rRNA". It matches the Rfam family "Bacterial small subunit ribosomal RNA", at positions 328 to 794 of the family's 1533-position model. The record is from RNAcentral.
UGUCCAGACUCCUACGGGAGGCAGCAGUGGGGAAUAUUGGGCAAUGGGCGCAAGCCUGACCCAGCAAUGCCGCGUGAAGGAAGAAGGCUUUCGGGUUGUAAACUUCUUUGACAGGGGAAGAGCAGAAGACGGUACCCUGAAAACAAGCCACGGCUAACUACGUGCCAGCAGCCGCGGUAAUACGUAGGUGGCAAGCGUUGUCCGGAUUUACUGGGUGUAAAGGGCGUGUAGCCGGGAAGGCAAGUCAGAUGUGAAAGCCCGGGGCUCAACCCCGGGACUGCAUUUGAAACUGUCAGGCUGGAGUGCAGGAGAGGUAAGUGGAAUUCCUAGUGUAGCGGUGAAAUGCGUAGAUAUUAGGAGGAACACCAGUGGCGAAGGCGGCUUACUGGACUGUAACUGACGUUGAGGCUCGAAAGCGUGGGGAGCAAACAGGAUUAGAUACCCCAGUAGU